Molecule: non-coding RNA, 52 nt
Organism: Gossypium hirsutum (cotton)
Lineage: Eukaryota; Viridiplantae; Streptophyta; Magnoliopsida; Malvales; Malvaceae
Source: Rfam
AUAACGGCGUUUUUAUAAAAAACGCCAUAAAAAAUUAACAAUAACGGCGUUU